GGACGUAGCUCAGCUGGUAGAGUGCCUGCCUCGCAUGCACAAGGCCCUGGGUUCCCUCCCCAGCACCA
RNAcentral lists this transfer RNA (68 nucleotides) under Marmota monax (woodchuck). RNAcentral describes it as "tRNA.Ala". Lineage: Eukaryota; Metazoa; Chordata; Mammalia; Rodentia; Sciuridae. The record is from RNAcentral.